CAGGACUCUUUGUCGCUUUUUACAGAUCCAGACUAACACGGCUACCCCUCUGAAAGUUAAUGUAAAUAUCUCAUGAUGUUCAAGAGUCAGGUGGUUCUUCCACUCUUGUGAAAUCUGUUAGGAGAAGUUCAAUUAGCUAUGGUGGUGGAGCAAUGUAGGCAUUGGGAACCUAACCCAGAAUUCCAGUCGGCAGCAGGAACUGUGGGAUAGCUGCCCACAAUGCAUCGCUCCCUGAUUCGAUGCUAGCCAUGGUAGUGAGGAUGCGCUCCGCUGACGGAAUGUGCAUAGUGGGGACAUGCAACAUCGACUUUGUAAAAUCGGAGGCUAAAU
Long non-coding RNA from Chrysemys picta bellii (western painted turtle), 330 nucleotides. RefSeq lists it as uncharacterized. Lineage: Eukaryota; Metazoa; Chordata; Testudines; Emydidae. The record is from RefSeq and is a predicted model, not a curated record.